This 1510-nucleotide long non-coding RNA is filed under the name Citrus x clementina. RNAcentral describes it as "Citrus clementina (C. clementina) long non-coding RNA (CCLE_LNC001808)". Lineage: Eukaryota; Viridiplantae; Streptophyta; Magnoliopsida; Sapindales; Rutaceae. The record is from RNAcentral.
GUCCCAAUGCAAUUAAUUGUACCAAGAAUCUUGCCGCUCAUAUAAGGGCUUCAGCAGCCGUUUGAAUCCUCUGAAGGACACGUGUAAGGCUCUAGUUCAUUUUGUUAGGCAAAACAGCAAGCAACGAUGCUGCAUGAGUAAGCGAUACACGUGAUACAUCACGUGUUUGACUUAUUCAUUCAACUGACAUUAUGGAAAUGUCAUACACCUCUCAGAAGUACUACGACCGACUAGACAUGAUGCUCUCACUGACAUAUCACAAACUUCCUGAGAAUAUAAGUGACUUGUCAUUCUCAGUUAUAAAAACAGAUUUGAGCUUCAUUCUUCAACAAAUAGACUAAGAAAUAAAGAAUUAAGAGAAAAUAUAUCAAUAAAUUAUAUCCAUCAAAUUUUGAUUGUAAUAUAUCAAUAUUUCAAAAAGAAAAAUUCUUGCAUUAAUUAUUAUACUUAAAAACCUUCUUUAUUUUAGACCAUAAUUUUCUCAACUAGAUUCUACACGUAAAUUCAUGAUAUUCAGUGGGUUACAACUAGAAUUAGGGAUGGUAAAAACCGGGUCCGGGUCUGGGUUUAGCCUUCCUGAAUUCGGACCCGGAUGUCAUUUUCUUUUUCUCCGGAUCCGGAUUUUAACCCGGAUUUUUUCAUCUCGAGUCCGGAUCCGGGUUUAACCCGCAAAAAUUCGGGUUUCCAAAUUUCGGGUUUUGAACCCGGAUCAAUGAAUCAGUUUUUAAAAAAUAAAAAAUUAAUACAUUUCCAACCAAUAACACAUCGAGAUUCCAGAUUGUAAAUCAUCAAAUAAAAAAAAUUAAAUCACUACAAAUAUAAGCCCAUUAAAGCAUAAACCAUUUCGAAUCUUUUUACUAUAAGAACAAUGUUUCUAGCAUAGAUAAAAUCAAAUAACAAAGUAUAAUGAAAUCAAAACGAAAGGAUAGCAAACUGGAUCGUUGUUUGGAGUUGCAAGAACCGGAGGCUGCGACGGUCGUGAACCCGAGAGUACGAGUUGCGACGGUGGCGAACCGCGAACCCGAGCUUGUGAUGGUAGCCAACUGCGAACCCGAGCUUGCGACGGUAAAAACCUGGAUUGUUGUUUGGAACUGCAAGAAGCCGAGGCUGCGACGGUCGUGAAUGGUGAACCCAAGAGUACGAGUUGCGACAGACGACGGUGGCGAACCCAAGCUUCUGAGUUCUGACGGCAGUGAAUCGCGAAGGCUGCAAGAAGCUAAGAACCCAAGCGGCCAAGCCUGUGAGUUGUGAGUUGUGAGUUGUGACUGACUGACAAUAGCAACCUGGAUAAAAUUAAGGUUUUUUUGUUUAUGUUUGUAUUUAUAUUAAUCAAUAAAAUUAAUUAAAAAAUAAUAUUAAAAUAUGAUAUCUGGGUCCGGGUUUCAGAUAUUCAGGUUAGCCUAAACCUGGAACCGGACCCGGAUAUAUCCGGGUUAUAAAAAUCCAUUCCGAAUUCGGAUUAUUUUGCACUGCGGUACGGGUUCAACCCGGCCCGGAUUAUCCGGGUUCG